GAUGAAGAACGCAGCGAAAUGCGAUACGUAAUGUGAAUUGCAGAAUUCAGUGAAUCAUCGAGUCUUUGAACGCACAUUGCGCCCCCUGGUAUUCCGGGGGGCAUGCCUGUCCGAGCGUCAUUGCUGCCCUCAAGCACGGCUUGUGUGUUGGGCCUCCGUCCUCCUCCCGGGGGACGGGCCCGAAAGGCAGCGGCGGCACCGCGUCCGGUCCUCGAGCGUAUGGGGCUUCGUCACCCGCUCUUGUAGGCCCGGCCGGCGCUUGCCGACACAUCAAUCUUUUUUCCAGGUUGACCUCGGAUCAGGUAGGGAUACCCGCUGAACUUAAGCAUAUCAAUAAGCGAGGGA
This 345-nucleotide unclassified non-coding RNA is filed under the name soil metagenome. Its description in RNAcentral is "partial contains 5.8S ribosomal RNA, internal transcribed spacer 2, and large subunit ribosomal RNA". The stretch from base 1 to 120 matches the Rfam family "5.8S ribosomal RNA", at positions 35 to 154 of the family's 154-position model. The record is from RNAcentral.